AGCGAACGCUGGCGGCGUGGAUAAGACAUGCAAGUCGAACGAAGCUUUUUCCUUGGCAACAAGGAAAAAGUUCAGUGGCGAACGGGUGAGUAACACGUGGGAACUUGCCCUGAAGUGGGGAAUAGCCCAUCGAAAGAUGGGGUAAUUCCGCAUGUGAUCGAAAGAUCAAAGUAGGGGACCUGCAAAGGCCUUACGCUUCAGGAGAGGCCCGCGGCCCAUCAGCUAGUUGGUGAGGUAAUGGCCCACCAAGGCUAAGACGGGUAGCUGGCCUGAGAGGGUGGUCAGCCACACUGGGACUGAGACACGGCCCAGACACCUACGGGUGGCAGCAGUCGAGAAUUUUUCACAAUGGGCGAAAGCCUGAUGGAGCGACGCCGCGUGGAGGAUGAAGGCCUUCGGGUUGUAAACUCCUGUCACCCUGGACCAAGACUUUCAGCUUGAAUAAAGCUGGAAGUUUGAUUGUACAGGGAGAGGAAGGGACGGCAAACUCUGUGCCAGCAGCCGCGGUAAUACAGAGGUCCCAAGCGUUGCUCGGAUUUACUGGGCGUAAAGGGUGUGUAGGAGGUUAGAUAAGUCGGAUGUGAAAUCCCUUUGCUUAACAAAGGAACUGCAUUCGAUACUGUCUAGCUAGAGGACCGGAGGGGGAAGCGGAACUCUCGGUGUAGCGGUGAAAUGCGUGGAUAUCGAGAGGAACACCGGUGGCGAAGGCGGCUUCCUGGACGGUACCUGACUCUGAUACACGAAAGCUAGGGGAGCGAACGGGAUUAGAUACCCCGGUAGUCCUAGCCGUAAACGGUGUGCGUUAGGCGUUGGCGGAAUCGACCCCGCCAGUGCCGUAGCUAACGCGUUAAACGCACCGCCUGAGGAGUACGGCCGCAAGGCUAAAACUCAAAGAAAUUGACGGG
This 905-nucleotide ribosomal RNA is filed under the name uncultured bacterium. Its description in RNAcentral is "bacterial SSU rRNA". It matches the Rfam family "Bacterial small subunit ribosomal RNA", at positions 28 to 917 of the family's 1533-position model. The record is from RNAcentral.